RNAcentral lists this ribosomal RNA (414 nucleotides) under uncultured bacterium. RNAcentral's name for it is "bacterial SSU rRNA". It matches the Rfam family "Bacterial small subunit ribosomal RNA", at positions 355 to 786 of the family's 1533-position model. The record is from RNAcentral.
UGGGGAAUAUUGCACAAUGGGGGAAACCCUGAUGCAGCAACGCCGCGUGAAGGAAGACGGUUUUCGGAUUGUAAACUUCUGUUCUUAGUGAAGAAUAAUGGCGGUAGCUAAGGAGCAAGCCACGGCUAACUACGUGCCAGCAGCCGCGGUAAUACGUAGGUGGCAAGCGUUGUCCGGAAUUACUGGGUGUAAAGGGAGCGCAGGCGGGAGACCAAGUCAGCUGUGAAACUACGGGCUUAACCUGUAGACUGCAGUUGAAACUGGUUUUCUUGAGUGAAGUAGAGGUUGGCGGAAUUCCGAGUGUAGCGGUGAAAUGCGUAGAUAUUCGGAGGAACACCGGUGGCGAAGGCGGCCAACUGGGCUUUAACUGACGCUGAGGCUCGAAAGUGUGGGGAGCAAACAGGAUUAGAUACC